UCACAAAACAAAACACAAACUGUGUGUUGUCUCUCUUCUUUGGUCUUCUCUUCUUCUUCUUCUUCUUUUUCUUUU
RNAcentral lists this small RNA (75 nucleotides) under Arabidopsis thaliana (thale cress). Its description in RNAcentral is "ATSL071010". Lineage: Eukaryota; Viridiplantae; Streptophyta; Magnoliopsida; Brassicales; Brassicaceae. The record is from RNAcentral.